RNAcentral lists this transfer RNA (76 nucleotides) under Maribellus luteus. Its description in RNAcentral is "Prolixibacteraceae bacterium XSD2 tRNA-Arg". It matches the Rfam family "tRNA". From Rfam's summary of the family: Transfer RNA (tRNA) molecules are approximately 80 nucleotides in length. Their secondary structure includes four short double-helical elements and three loops (D, anti-codon, and T loops). Further hydrogen bonds mediate the characteristic L-shaped molecular structure. tRNAs have two regions of fundamental functional importance: the anti-codon, which is responsible for specific mRNA codon recognition, and the 3' end, to which the tRNAs corresponding amino acid is attached (by aminoacyl-tRNA synthetases). tRNAs cope with the degeneracy of the genetic code in two manners: having more than one tRNA (with a specific anti-codon) for a particular amino acid; and 'wobble' base-pairing, i.e. permitting non-standard base-pairing at the 3rd anti-codon position. The record is from RNAcentral. Lineage: Bacteria; Pseudomonadati; Bacteroidota; Bacteroidia; Marinilabiliales; Prolixibacteraceae.
GGCCCCGUAGCUUAAUGGAUAGAGCAUCUGACUACGGAUCAGAAGGUUGGGGGUUCGAGUCUCUCCGGGGUCACCC